RNAcentral lists this long non-coding RNA (1277 nucleotides) under Capsicum annuum. RNAcentral's name for it is "long non-coding RNA (CANN_LNC012849)". The record is from RNAcentral. Lineage: Eukaryota; Viridiplantae; Streptophyta; Magnoliopsida; Solanales; Solanaceae.
CAAAAUAUUCUAAAAUUAAAAUCUUGUUCAUUCAUCCUAGAUCUAAAUCAACUAACAAAAACUUUAAAAUGUUUGAAAUCAGAAUCAAAGAAAUCAUAUACAUACUUGUUAAUUUUAUUUAGAUUUUUUUUAUCCUUUUGUUUCUUCUAGUGAUUAUUUUUGUGUGUUUUAGGUUCGAACAAAUUUAUGAAAAUGAAACACAUUUAGAAAUUUUAAAGAAGAUGAAGAGGAGUCAAUGCGUGUUUCAUAGGUUAAAAAAAUCAGUAGGUUUAAAGAUGAUAAGUGAAAAAUUAAUGGUGAUAAAAGUGUUGAAUUUGUAGUGCAGAUGAAAAUAAAAAUGAGAAAAAUGUAUAUGAAGAUGAGAAAGAGGAGGAUGAAGAUGCUAAAGAAAGAUAAAAAUGGAGAUAAGGAGGUGAAUAAAGAACAAAACAAAUAAAGAAAAAAAUAACUAAAAAUACAUACACACACAUAUAUGUGUAUAUUUAUGAAAAAAAUAUGAAAAUAAACUUUAAUUUUUAUUUUCGGUUCUCACCCUCUCAAGGAGAGUGAAAUACACUCACUUUACUAGGUAAGCAUUUAAGGAGAUAAUAAUAUUAUUUUUACACAUUUUAGGGGGGGUGAUAGGACUCUCGUGAAGGUUGACUCUGUAGUUGAAAUUUCGGUAAAGGUUGGAGGGGUAAUAGACAAUUUUCUCUUUAAAAGUGCAUGACGGAUUCACAAAUCCUUCCCAGAUUUUGUUCCAUUUUAUGUUUUGCAUAAAUCCUCUUCUACUCUUUUUAUUUCCAGACAGAUUAUUAGAUUUAAAAUUGGCUAUGUAUAACUUUAAAUUUUGAUUCAAUUUCUUCAAAUACAUUAUCAUCAAUUUCUUCAAAUACAUUAUCAUCUACUCAUCUAUAUCAACAUAUGCGGAAGCACACAAAUUUAUACAUGCUUGAUUCUGACCCUAAUGUUGAAUGGGAUGUUAAUUUUAAUAUAUAUGCAUGCUUAUUGAUUAAUUAUGGUAAAAUAUGUUGUUAAAAUAGAUGUUAUGAUUAAUUGAUUCGGUCUCUCAUUGAAAUUAAAGUAAAGCCAUGCGUUGUAAGUAGAUUUUAUUUUGACUAUUUUCUCUCUUUAUAUGACAACUUUGGUACUUGAAUAUUUAUGGUAAAUAUUUGUGUGAUUGAGUAUAUGUUUUGGUUAACUCACUCAAUUUAAGAUUUUUGAAUGAAUUAACAGGCUCCUUAUUGUCUUCUAUUUAUGGUGAAAAUUUUCAAGGAAGGAAAAUCAUGUGAGCUCUC